AGCGAACGCUGGCGGCAGGCCUAACACAUGCAAGUCGAGCGCCGUAGCAAUACGGAGCGGCAGACGGGAGAGUAACACGUGGGAACGUACCCUUUGGUUCGGAACAACCCAGGGAAACUUGGGCUAAUACCGAAUAAGCCCUCACGGGGAAAGAUUUAUCGCCGAAGGAUCGGCCCGCGUCUGAUUAGCUAGUUGGUGGGGUAAUGGCCCACCAAGGCGACGAUCAGUAGCUGGUCUGAGAGGAUGAUCAGCCUCACUGGGACUGAGACACGGCCCAGACUCCUACGGGAGGCAGCAGUGGGGAAUAUUGGACAAUGGGCGCAAGCCUGAUCCAGCCAUGCCGCGUGGGUGAUGAAGGCCCUAGGGUUGUAAAGCCCUUUCGGCGGGGAAGAUAAUGACGGUACCCGCAGAAGAAGCCCCGGCUAACUUCGUGCCAGCCGCCGCAGUAA
RNAcentral lists this ribosomal RNA (449 nucleotides) under uncultured bacterium. RNAcentral's name for it is "partial 16S ribosomal RNA". It matches the Rfam family "Bacterial small subunit ribosomal RNA", at positions 29 to 523 of the family's 1533-position model. The record is from RNAcentral.